UACAGAGGGUGCGAGCGUUGUCCGGAAUCACUGGGCGUAAAGGGCGCGUAGGUGGCUUGCCAAGCGUGUGGUGAAAGCCCGGAGCUCAACUCCGGGUCUGCCAUGCGAACUGGCAGGCUAGAGCACGGUAGAGGCCAAUGGAAUUCCGGGUGUAGCGGUGGAAUGCGUAGAGAUCCGGAGGAACACCAGCGGCGAAGGCGGCAUCCUGGACUGGUCCUGACACUCAGGAGCGAAAGCGUGGGGAGCGAUCCGG
Molecule: ribosomal RNA, 253 nt
Filed under: uncultured bacterium
Lineage: Bacteria
Description: partial 16S ribosomal RNA
Rfam family: Bacterial small subunit ribosomal RNA
Source: RNAcentral